CAAUAUUAGGAAAACCCAAAAGUCUUCCUUUAAUUGUAAACGUUAGGGAACUUAAGAUCAGCAAAAAAAGUCUCAGAACUCAAAAUCCUCAUUUCAACAAUACAGAAGGAGUUCAAGCUAGCAAGACUCAGAUGGCGGACAUGGCAGUUUCCAUAGCACGAGAGAAAUUGCUUCCACUGAUAAGAGAUGAAGCAAAUCUGAUUUGGGACAUGCCCAAAGAAUUUGCAGACCUAAAAGAUGAACUAGAAUACAUUCAAGCUUUCCUCAAGGAUGCAGAUAAAAGGGCUGCUGGCAAAGGAGACAACAUGAAAGAGGGAAUCAGAAACUGGGUGAAACAGUCGAGGGAAAGCAUCAUUUCCCAUAGAAGAUUUUAUUGAUGAAUCCAUGAUCUAUGUGGAACAACAGCCUCGUGAUCCUGGAUGUACAAGUUAACUUUGUGAGAUUGUUCAUUUUGUUGGGUCUUUGACGUCUCGCCAUUGAAUAGCAACAGAGAUUCGGCAGAUUAAGUCAUUUGUACAUGGAAUCAAGCAAAAGGCUAAAGAUUAUCAGUUCCAAAUCCAACCUUCUUCUGAACAUGGGAAGAGAAGUCAUAAAGGUAGUCAAGUUGUUCAAUGGCAUGACCCUCGAACGGCUUCUCGUUACCUUGAAGAAGCUGAAGUUGUUGGCAUUGAAGGGCCAAGAGAUGAAUUGAUUGGUUGGUUAGUAGGGGUACCAGCGUAUCGCACUGUCAUAUCAGUGGUAGGAAUGGGAGGGCUUGGAAAAACCACACUUGUCAACAGAGUUUUUAACAACUAGAAGGUGAUUGGACAUUUUGAUUUCCAUGCAUGGAUCGUGGUGUCUCAGUCCUACACAAUGGAAGGGUAGACGAGAGACUUGGUGAAGAAGUUAUGCAAACAAAAAAGGGAGGAUCCUCCUCAAGAUAUUCUGAAAUGGAUCCAGAUUCAUUGAUUGAUGAAGUGAGAAACAAUAUGCAAGAGAAGAGAACAACCAGAGGAAAAGCUUGAGUAAGCUUAGGGAAUCGCUAGAGACGCUGCUAUCACUGUCGGACUACAUACGUGAACCCGCUUAAAGAUCUUGUGAUAAUCUCAAACUUGUGUUCGUGGGAGCAAAUGGUUAGGUGGAUAACUUUAAAGAAUCUCGUGCUAGAGGGUGCUUGGACACAACACUCUGAUACAAUGUGACAUUGGGACAUGGGUUUCUAUAUCAUUUCCAUAAUGUUCUGAAUAUGUUACUUUAUGUUGUUCCAGUGCUUAACUUGCUUUCCUUGUGUAAAAAAAAUUGGACGACCUUGUUUUCGGUCAAAGAUGUUUUCAUAUCCUUAUUUGAUAAAUUUUUAAUUUGAUGAUUAACGUUGAUGUAAACCUUUUAUUCAUGUAAACUCUUUUAUACUCAGAAAAUAAAAUCUCUUUCAUGUAA
Glycine soja is the source of this 1416-nucleotide long non-coding RNA. RefSeq lists it as uncharacterized. Lineage: Eukaryota; Viridiplantae; Streptophyta; Magnoliopsida; Fabales; Fabaceae. The record is from RefSeq and is a predicted model, not a curated record. The transcript is spliced from 3 exons.